UGAUCAUAAAAUGUUAUUCGAAUUUGAUAUAGAAUUUGAAAGACGAACUGGUAAUCUUAAUGAAGUUGAAUUGGAAUCAUGGUCGAAAUAUGAUGAUAUUUUGGAAGCUAAUAAAAAUAAUGUUACAUUUAAUAAACGUUUGCAUAGUGAUGAUAAUGAUAAUGUCAAGGAAGGAAUUGCGCGCAAAUCAAUAUGCAAAAGAUGGAACAAAUUUGUCCUAUAUUUC
This is a non-coding RNA of Dermatophagoides farinae (American house dust mite), 226 nucleotides long. The record is from RefSeq and is a predicted model, not a curated record. NCBI's taxonomy places the organism in Eukaryota, Metazoa, Arthropoda, Arachnida, Sarcoptiformes, Pyroglyphidae.